UUGAGUUUCUCUAGGAAGUACAAGCUUGGUUAUGAAGUUUGUCGUUGUAAAGACCCUCACGAGCGGAUAGGGUUUUGGUCGAGAAAAAUCCCGUUCGACCAGUUCGGAGUUGGUUCGACCAGAAUUAAAAAUAAAAAUCGACCCGGUAAAUUAUUCUUGAUGGGACUGUCUCGAGGCCAAAGUACCUACUCUUAAUAGUUCUGACCAAGUGUUAAUUAUUAUGGUCGAGUUUUAUCUAAGCUGGACGAGAACCGAUGGACGGGAAACAUUUUAUCGAAAACUGAUCUUGAAUACUUUCAGUUGCUUGCGAGUCAUGUGCAUGUCAUGUGCUGCCUGGCUGCUUGCUUCCUUCCUGACCUGAACAUGUGACUUGCACCUUCCAGCUUGUUUGCUACAUUAAAUUCAUGUGAGUUGCACACCUGCUUGAAGUUUCUUCAUGGAAAAGAAAUGACAUUACUUCAUGGGAAGGAAAGUGUGAUUCAGCUCACCACAUGUCUCAUACUGAUCUGAAACUUUUGUCCUUUCUUGCUGACUCUUCUCCUGCUGUUUCCCCUGUCAUUUAUUACAUUGUCCUCUUCCUGGUCGAGCUCAUUCAUCUCAGAAACAAGAAAGAAAAAUUCAGAGAGAAAGAGAGAAAGAAAGAGAGAAAAAUCUGUGAGGAAAAUACAUGAAAAAUUCAGAAAAAAAUAAGAGAAGAGAAGGGAGCUUGGACAACCCUUUCUCACCAUCUUGUGACUUUAAUCAGUGAGUAUUUGUGUGGUAAAGAGUUGGAGAUUUGGUGUCCUGAAGUUGAGAAUCACCCAUGUUCUUCAGCCUUUGAUUUUAAUCGGUAAAGAUGUUUGGCGUGGCUUCAUCUUAAAGUGGAGUAUCAGUUAUAUUCAGACAGUGUUUGAUUUGAACCGAUGGUCAAGGAUAGUGUUCGGAUCAGUCGGAUUCUUGUGGUGAUUUUAAUCCGAGAAUAUUCCAGAAGCCGAGUGUGAUUAGCUUGAGCUCGAGUAUAGUCUUCCUUAGCCAAUCUCAUGGAAUCAAAGGUAACCAGUAGACGGGAGACCUUACUUUAGGAUGGGAAGGAACAUCAUUAGCCAGCGGCUAUGUGAAGAAGGUUUUGGAGAUGUCCAGAAACAGAGCAACAACAACAUUUGUUAUGAGCUAACAUUACAGAUGAAGCUUCAGCCAUAUUAAGAAGGUGAUCCAGUGGAAAAAAUAAGGAGAAUAACCACAUGCUCUUUGUUUAAAAGUUAUGUUGACCACAUUGUGAUAUGUCUCCACUUUUUUUUAGACCGAUUAGUCUCCACUUUGAUUGAUAAUUCUGUCAAAUGAUAGGAAAUAAUGUGUAACCGAUAUACAUAAGAUAGUUAUGCAGA
Long non-coding RNA from Brassica napus (rape), 1364 nucleotides. RefSeq lists it as uncharacterized. NCBI's taxonomy places the organism in Eukaryota, Viridiplantae, Streptophyta, Magnoliopsida, Brassicales, Brassicaceae. The transcript has 7 exons. The record is from RefSeq and is a predicted model, not a curated record.